Molecule: microRNA, 22 nt
Filed under: Strongyloides ratti
Lineage: Eukaryota; Metazoa; Nematoda; Chromadorea; Rhabditida; Strongyloididae
Description: str-miR-34b-5p
Gene: str-miR-34b-5p
Source: miRBase by way of RNAcentral
UGGCAGUGUAGUUAGCUGGUUG